RNAcentral lists this ribosomal RNA (2921 nucleotides) under Klebsiella aerogenes. RNAcentral's name for it is "bacterial LSU rRNA". It matches the Rfam family "Bacterial large subunit ribosomal RNA". The record is from RNAcentral. Lineage: Bacteria; Pseudomonadati; Pseudomonadota; Gammaproteobacteria; Enterobacterales; Enterobacteriaceae.
GGGUUGUGAGGUUAAGCGACUAAGCGUACACGGUGGAUGCCCUGGCAGUCAGAGGCGAUGAAGGACGUGCUAAUCUGCGAAAAGCGUCGGUAAGGUGAUAUGAACCGUUACAGCCGGCGAUGUCCGAAUGGGGAAACCCAGUGUGAUUCGUCACACUAUCGUUAACUGAAUACAUAGGUUAACGAGGCGAACCGGGGAACUGAAACAUCUAAGUACCCGAGGAAAAGAAAUCAACCGAGAUUCCCCAGUAGCGGCGAGCGAACGGGAGCAGCCCAGAGUCUGAAUCAGCUUGUGUGUUAGUGGAACGGUCUGGAAAGUCCGACGGUACAGGGUGAUAGUCCGUACACCAAAAUGCACAGGCUGUGAACUCGAAGAUAGGGCGGGACACGUGGUAUCCUGUCUGAAUAUGGGGGACCAUCCUCCAAGGCUAAAUACUCUGACUGACCGAUAGUGAACCAGUACCGUGAGGGAAAGGCGAAAAGAACCCCGGCGAGGGGAGUGAAAAGAACCUGAAACCGUGUACGUACAAGCAGUGGGAGCACCUUCGGGUGUGACUGCGUACCUUUUGUAUAAUGGGUCAGCGACUUAUAUUCUGUAGCAAGGUUAACCGUAUAGGGGAGCCGCAGGGAAACCGAGUCUUAACUGGGCGUUAAGUUGCAGGGUAUAGACCCGAAACCCGGUGAUCUAGCCAUGGGCAGGUUGAAGGUUGGGUAACACUAACUGGAGGACCGAACCGACUAAUGUUGAAAAAUUAGCGGAUGACUUGUGGCUGGGGGUGAAAGGCCAAUCAAACCGGGAGAUAGCUGGUUCUCCCCGAAAGCUAUUUAGGUAGCGCCUCGUGAAUUCAUCUUCGGGGUAGAGCACUGUUUCGGCUAGGGGGUCAUCCCGACUUACCAACCCGAUGCAAACUACGAAUACCGAAGAAUGUUAUCACGGGAGACACACGGCGGGUGCUAACGUCCGUCGUGAAGAGGGAAACAACCCAGACCGCCAGCUAAGGUCCCAAAGUCACAGUUAAGUGGGAAACGAUGUGGGAAGGCACAGACAGCCAGGAUGUUGGCUUAGAAGCAGCCAUCAUUUAAAGAAAGCGUAAUAGCUCACUGGUCGAGUCGGCCUGCGCGGAAGAUGUAACGGGGCUAAACUGUGCACCGAAGCUGCGGCAGCGACACUAUGUGUUGUUGGGUAGGGGAGCGUUCUGUAAGCCUGCGAAGGUGGCCUGUGAGGGUUGCUGGAGGUAUCAGAAGUGCGAAUGCUGACAUAAGUAACGAUAAUGCGGGUGAAAAGCCCGCACGCCGGAAGACCAAGGGUUCCUGUCCAACGUUAAUCGGGGCAGGGUGAGUCGACCCCUAAGGCGAGGCCGAAAGGCGUAGUCGAUGGGAAACAGGUUAAUAUUCCUGUACUUGGUGUUACUGCGAAGGGGGACGGAGAAGGCUAUGUUAGCCGGGCGACGGUUGUCCCGGUUUAAGCAUGUAGGCGGAGGUUCCAGGUAAAUCCGGUACCUUUUUAACGCUGAGGUGUGAUGACGAGGCACUACGGUGCUGAAGUAACAAAUGCCCUGCUUCCAGGAAAAGCCUCUAAGCAUCAGGUAACAUUGAAUCGUACCCCAAACCGACACAGGUGGUCAGGUAGAGAAUACCAAGGCGCUUGAGAGAACUCGGGUGAAGGAACUAGGCAAAAUGGUGCCGUAACUUCGGGAGAAGGCACGCUGAUAUGUAGGUGAAGCCCCUGCGGGUGGAGCUGAAAUCAGUCGAAGAUACCAGCUGGCUGCAACUGUUUAUUAAAAACACAGCACUGUGCAAACACGAAAGUGGACGUAUACGGUGUGACGCCUGCCCGGUGCCGGAAGGUUAAUUGAUGGGGUUAUCCGUAAGGAGAAGCUCUUGAUCGAAGCCCCGGUAAACGGCGGCCGUAACUAUAACGGUCCUAAGGUAGCGAAAUUCCUUGUCGGGUAAGUUCCGACCUGCACGAAUGGCGUAAUGAUGGCCAGGCUGUCUCCACCCGAGACUCAGUGAAAUUGAACUCGCUGUGAAGAUGCAGUGUACCCGCGGCAAGACGGAAAGACCCCGUGAACCUUUACUAUAGCUUGACACUGAACAUUGAGCCUUGAUGUGUAGGAUAGGUGGGAGGCUUUGAAGCGUGGACGCCAGUCUGCGUGGAGCCAACCUUGAAAUACCACCCUUUAAUGUUUGAUGUUCUAACGUUGGCCCCUUAUCGGGGUUGCGGACAGUGUCUGGUGGGUAGUUUGACUGGGGCGGUCUCCUCCCAAAGAGUAACGGAGGAGCACGAAGGUUAGCUAAUCCUGGUCGGACAUCAGGAGGUUAGUGCAAUGGCAUAAGCUAGCUUGACUGCGAGCGUGACGGCGCGAGCAGGUGCGAAAGCAGGUCAUAGUGAUCCGGUGGUUCUGAAUGGAAGGGCCAUCGCUCAACGGAUAAAAGGUACUCCGGGGAUAACAGGCUGAUACCGCCCAAGAGUUCAUAUCGACGGCGGUGUUUGGCACCUCGAUGUCGGCUCAUCACAUCCUGGGGCUGAAGUAGGUCCCAAGGGUAUGGCUGUUCGCCAUUUAAAGUGGUACGCGAGCUGGGUUUAGAACGUCGUGAGACAGUUCGGUCCCUAUCUGCCGUGGGCGCUGGAGAAUUGAGGGGGGCUGCUCCUAGUACGAGAGGACCGGAGUGGACGCAUCACUGGUGUUCGGGUUGUCAUGCCAAUGGCAUUGCCCGGUAGCUAAAUGCGGAAGAGAUAAGUGCUGAAAGCAUCUAAGCACGAAACUUGCCCCGAGAUGAGUUCUCCCUGAGACUUUAAGUCUCCUGAAGGAACGUUAAAGACGAUGACGUUGAUAGGUCGGGUGUGUAAGCGUAGCGAUACGUUGAGCUAACCGAUACUAAUGAACCGUGAGGCUUAACCUUACAACGCCGAAGGUGUUU